AGAAUCAACGCUGGCGGCGUGCCUAACACAUGCAAGUCGAACGAGAAAGUGGAGCAAUCCAUGAGUAAAGUGGCGCACGGGUGAGUAACACGUGACUAACCUACCCUUGAGUGGGGGAUAACCUAGAGAAAUCUGGGCUAAUACCGCAUAAUACCUUCGGGUCAAAGGAGCAAUUCGCUUAAGGAGGGGGUCGCGGCCGAUUAGUUAGUUGGCGGGGUAAUGGCCCACCAAGACUAUGAUCGGUAUCCGGCCUGAGAGGGCGCACGGACACACUGGAACUGAAACACGGUCCAGACUCCUACGGGAGGCAGCAGUGGGAAUUUUGCGCAAUGGGGGAAACCCUGACGCAGCAACGCCGCGUGGAGGAUGAAGUCCCUUGGGACGUAAACUCCUUUCGAUCGGGACGAUUAUGACGGUACCGGAAGAAGAAGCCCCGGCUAACUUCGUGCCAGCAGCCGC
RNAcentral lists this ribosomal RNA (459 nucleotides) under uncultured bacterium. RNAcentral describes it as "SSU rRNA". It matches the Rfam family "Bacterial small subunit ribosomal RNA", at positions 26 to 518 of the family's 1533-position model. The record is from RNAcentral.